UACGUAGGGGGCAAGCGUUGUCCGGAAUCAUUGGGCGUAAAGCGCGUGUAGGCGGCCCGGUAAGUCCGCUGUGAAAGUCGGGGGCUCAACCCUCGAAUGCCGGUGGAUACUGUCGGGCUAGAGUGCGGGAGAGGCGAGUGGAAUUCCUGGUGUAGCGGUGAAAUGCGCAGAUAUCAGGAGGAACACCAAUUGCGAAGGCAGCUCGCUGGAACGUAACUGACGCUGAGACGCGAAAGCGUGGGAGCAAACAGG
RNAcentral lists this ribosomal RNA (252 nucleotides) under uncultured bacterium. Its description in RNAcentral is "partial 16S ribosomal RNA". It matches the Rfam family "Bacterial small subunit ribosomal RNA", at positions 524 to 776 of the family's 1533-position model. The record is from RNAcentral.